GCGGGAUUAGUACAGUGGCAGUAUGCCUGCUUCCCAAGCAGAAGACGCGAGUUCGAUUCUCGUAUCCCGCU
Molecule: transfer RNA, 71 nt
Filed under: Candidatus Falkowiibacteriota bacterium
Lineage: Bacteria; Candidatus Falkowiibacteriota
Description: tRNA-Gly
Rfam family: tRNA
About the family: Transfer RNA (tRNA) molecules are approximately 80 nucleotides in length. Their secondary structure includes four short double-helical elements and three loops (D, anti-codon, and T loops). Further hydrogen bonds mediate the characteristic L-shaped molecular structure. tRNAs have two regions of fundamental functional importance: the anti-codon, which is responsible for specific mRNA codon recognition, and the 3' end, to which the tRNAs corresponding amino acid is attached (by aminoacyl-tRNA synthetases). tRNAs cope with the degeneracy of the genetic code in two manners: having more than one tRNA (with a specific anti-codon) for a particular amino acid; and 'wobble' base-pairing, i.e. permitting non-standard base-pairing at the 3rd anti-codon position.
Source: RNAcentral